This is a non-coding RNA of Thamnophis sirtalis, 268 nucleotides long. Lineage: Eukaryota; Metazoa; Chordata; Lepidosauria; Squamata; Natricidae. The record is from RefSeq and is a predicted model, not a curated record.
UCCACAAGCUACUGGGAAAUGACAAGUGACAGAUCAGAGGCCAGGAAGGCGCCAGGGACUUGUAAUUCGAAGUCGCAGAGGAGAUGUGGAACCUGGUUGUCAUCUCUGGCUUGCAGAAAGCAAGGAAGCCAAUGCGAAUGAUAUACAAGACAUAGAAAUCUGCAAGCUCCAAAUUGCAAAACAAUUCGUAGAGGUGACGUCAUCCAAAUGAAGGUGAAAUCUCCACUUCUUUUUAUAUCCCUGCGGUUUUUGUGACCGUCCUGUGGAA